RNAcentral lists this ribosomal RNA (254 nucleotides) under uncultured bacterium. Its description in RNAcentral is "partial 16S ribosomal RNA". It matches the Rfam family "Bacterial small subunit ribosomal RNA", at positions 524 to 776 of the family's 1533-position model. The record is from RNAcentral.
UACAGAGGGUGCAAGCGUUAAUCGGAAUUACUGGGCGUAAAGCGUGCGUAGACGGUUAUUUAAGUCGGGUGUGAAACCUCCAGGCUCAACCUGGAGACGCCACCCGAUACUGCUGUGACUAGAGUCCGGUAGGGGAGCGUGGAGUUCCUGGUGUAGCGGUGAAAUGCGCAGAUAUCAGGAGGAACACCGAUGGCGAAGGCAGGUCUCUGGGCCACUACUGACGCUGAGAAGCGAAAGCAUGGGGAGCGAACAGG